Molecule: transfer RNA, 74 nt
Filed under: Chloroflexota bacterium
Lineage: Bacteria; Bacillati; Chloroflexota
Description: Chloroflexi bacterium tRNA-Ser
Rfam family: tRNA
About the family: Transfer RNA (tRNA) molecules are approximately 80 nucleotides in length. Their secondary structure includes four short double-helical elements and three loops (D, anti-codon, and T loops).
Source: RNAcentral
CCCCCAGUAGCUCAGCGGACUAGAGCAACAGCCUACUAGGCGGUUGGCCGUAGGUUCGAGUCCUGCCUUGGGGG